RNAcentral lists this long non-coding RNA (1178 nucleotides) under Marmota monax (woodchuck). The stretch from base 1114 to 1176 matches the Rfam family "tRNA". The record is from RNAcentral. Lineage: Eukaryota; Metazoa; Chordata; Mammalia; Rodentia; Sciuridae.
UGCUAUCUUCCUUCCUCUCUUUCAGGUGACAGAACCAUCCUUGUUGUUUUAGAUCCUUUCAGAAGGUGCUCACAUGGGAACCUAGGGAGAGGAGAGUCUCCCCCAUCCCCAACACCAAGGCAAGAGCUGUGCAGAGGGAGAGGUUCACUUUGCAAAUCAGCUGGGAAGGGAGAUGCAGGACCUGGAGGCCCAGCAUCUCCCAGUUCCAUCUCCCAGUUCCAUCUCCCUGGAAAAUCAUCCACAGACUACUUACGUGGAAUAAGCAUUUGUCUUUAACUUCUAACUGCCUGUUCUCUCUCUGAAAGUGAAACUGAAUCAUGCAGAAUUUAUAAAGUAGUUCAGGGACAGUCACUUUGGGGCCCUUUUAAAAUAAGGUGACCUAUAUUGUAUAUAAUUAAACCUGGAGUGGAGUUGCAUGUUGAAAAUGCUUUUAACCUAAUGAAUGUUUCUUUUUUUUUAUCAGACCACAGAAAAAUCCCCAAAGUAAAGGAGGAAAAAUUCUGUAUUUAUGAAACACCCUCUUUGUGCCGCUAUAUUUUGUGAGAAGUAGACAAUAUGGAGAAAAAUACAUGGCCAAGAGAAGAAUCUUCUCUUCCAAUGGAAAAGAUAUUUUUGUAUCAAAACAAAGUAAUGGUGAAGUCCAUUACUUUUCUAAGCUCAGGAAAAACCCUAUGUCCUUUGAACUUCUGGUAUUAUCUUCUAGUAUUAUCUGUAUUUUCUGAUAUAAUCACCAUUAUUUUUGCCUAAAAAAAAAUCAACUUUUUUGUAACCCAGAAGCUGACCUGUUACAUUUUGUCCAGAAGAAAGUAUCCUCAGAUGCAGUACUUCAUAUGUUCCUUCACGCUCUGAUAAUGUUUUAGCACCAAGAGAGGGGGUACCCAAACAGGUGAUAAGAAUUGUUCAAUACAAACCAUGUAAUGAAUUUCCACAUCCAUUAAGAGAGUCUGGACCCCUCCAGAGCUAAAGGAUUAAGGGAAGAUGCUGGAGAAUGAGAUUGACCCAAUUGUGUGCAUGUAUGAAUAUGGCAUAAUAAUCUCCACUAUUAUGUAUAAUUAUAAUGCACUAGUGAUAAAUAAAUUUUAAAAAGAGCUAAAGAAUUAAAGAUCUUGGGCUGGGGAUGUAACUCAGUGGUAGAGCACUUGUCUGGUAUGCAUGAGGCCCUAAGUUCCUUCCCCAGC